UACGAAGGGGGCUAGCGUUGUUCGGAAUUACUGGGCGUAAAGCGCACGUAGGCGGAUAUUUAAGUCAGGGGUGAAAUCCCCGGGGGCUCAACCCCCGGAACUGCCUUUGAUACUGGGUAUCUCGAGUCCGAGAGAGGUGAGUGGAAUUCCGAGUGUAGAGGUGAAAUUCGUAGAUAUUCGGAGGAACACCAGUGGCGAAGGCGGCUCACGUGGCUCGGUAC
This 221-nucleotide ribosomal RNA is filed under the name uncultured bacterium. Its description in RNAcentral is "partial 16S ribosomal RNA". It matches the Rfam family "Bacterial small subunit ribosomal RNA", at positions 524 to 740 of the family's 1533-position model. The record is from RNAcentral.